CUAGAUUGAUGGCGAGUGGCGAACGGGUGAGUAAUACAUCGGAACGUGCCCUGUAGUGGGGGAUAACUAGUCGAAAGAUUAGCUAAUACCGCAUACGACCUGAGGGUGAAAGUGGGGGACCGCAAGGCCUCAUGCUAUAGGAGCGGCCGAUGUCUGAUUAGCUAGUUGGUGGGGUAAAGGCCCACCAAGGCGACGAUCAGUAGCUGGUCUGAGAGGACGAUCAGCCACACUGGGACUGAGACACGGCCCAGACUCCUACGGGAGGCAGCAGUGGGGAAUUUUGGACAAUGGGCGAAAGCCUGAUCCAGCAAUGCCGCGUGUGUGAAGAAGGCCUUCGGGUUGUAAAGCACUUUUGUCCGGAAAGAAAUGGCUCUGGUUAAUACCUGGGGUCGAUGACGGUACCGGAAGAAUAAGGACCGGCUAACUACGUGCCAGCAGCCGCGGUAAUACGUAGGGUCCAAGCGUUAAUCGGAAUUACUGGGCGUAAAGCGUGCGCAGGCGGUUGUGCAAGACCGAUGUGAAAUCCCCGAGCUUAACUUGGGAAUUGCAUUGGUGACUGCACGGCUAGAGUGUGUCAGAGGGGGGUAGAAUUCCACGUGUAGCAGUGAAAUGCGUAGAGAUGUGGAGGAAUACCGAUGGCGAAGGCAGCCCCCUGGGAUAACACUGACGCUCAUGCACGAAAGCGUGGGGAGCAAACAGGAUUAGAUACCCUGGUAGUCCACGCCCUAAACGAUGUCAACUAGUUGUUGGGGAUUCAUUUCCUUAGUAACGUAGCUAACGCGUGAAGUGACCGCCUGGGGGAGUACGGUCGCAGAUUAAAACUCAAAGGAAUUGACGGGGAC
RNAcentral lists this ribosomal RNA (842 nucleotides) under Ralstonia sp. RNAcentral describes it as "bacterial SSU rRNA". It matches the Rfam family "Bacterial small subunit ribosomal RNA", at positions 80 to 920 of the family's 1533-position model. The record is from RNAcentral. Lineage: Bacteria; Pseudomonadati; Pseudomonadota; Betaproteobacteria; Burkholderiales; Burkholderiaceae.